UAAACUGUUGACUGAACAUUCCCACAG
RNAcentral lists this non-coding RNA (27 nucleotides) under Cricetulus griseus (Chinese hamster). The record is from RNAcentral. Lineage: Eukaryota; Metazoa; Chordata; Mammalia; Rodentia; Cricetidae.